GCAGGCGCAGAUGCGGCCUGGGCGCGCGGCCCGUGGCGGUUGGCGGCUCGUGGGGCCGGCGGGCGGUUGCCGUGAGCAGGACCAGAGCUCCGGCGCUGAGAGCCGGCGCCAUGGUGGAGAAGGAGGAGGCAGGCGGCGGUAUCAGCGAGGAGGAGGCGGCUCAGUAUGACCGGCAGAUCCGUCUCUGGGGAUUGGAGGCCCAGAAACGGCUGCGGGCCUCCCGGGUGCUUCUUGUUGGCAUGAAGGGACUCGGGGCUGAAAUCGCCAAGAAUCUCAUCCUGGCCGGAGUGAAAGGACUGACCAUGCUGGAUCACGAGCAGGUAUCUCCAGAAGACCCCGGAGCCCAGUUCCUGAUCCGUACUGGGUCUGUUGGCCGAAACAGGGCCGAAGCCUCUUUGGAGCGCGCACAGAAUCUCAACCCCAUGGUGGAUGUGAAAGUGGACACUGAGAAUAUAGAAAAGAAACCUGAGUCGUUUUUCACGCAAUUUGAUGCUGUAUGUCUGACUUGCUGCUCCAGGGAUAUCAUAGUUAAAGUUGACCAGAUCUGUCACAAAAAUAGCAUCAAGUUCUUUACGGGAGAUGUUUUUGGCUACCACGGAUACACGUUUGCCAAUCUCGGAGAGCAUGAAUUUGUAGAGGAGAAAACCAAAGUUGCCAAAGUUAGUCAAGGAGUAGAAGAUGGACCUGAUACCAAGAGAGCCAAACUUGAUUCAUCUGAGACAACCAUGGUCAAAAAGAAGGUGGUCUUCUGCUCCAUCAAAGAAGCGCUGGAAGUGGACUGGAGCAGUGAUAAAGCAAAGGCAGCUCUCAAGCGCACAACUCCAGAUUACUUUCUCCUUCAAGUGCUCCUGAAGUUCCGCACAGAUAAAGGAAGAGAUCCUAGUUCUGAUACCUUCGGGGAAGAUUCUGAGUUGUUGCUCCAGAUUCGAAACGAUGUGCUUGACUCCCUGGGUGUUAAUCCUGACCUGCUUCCUGAAGACUUUGUCAGUUCUGCAGUGGACCUUGGUACGCGGGAGGAAGAGCUGCCCUGUGGAUGGACAGAUGGGAGUGCUGGGCCCGGCCAGGGCAUGAGGAGAUGGGCAUCCCCAAGCACAGUUGAUGUACUGCUUCUCUGAGAUGGCCCCAGUGUGUGCAGUGGUUGGAGGGAUCCUGGCCCAGGAAAUUGUGAAGAUGAGAAAGUGGAUUGGGAUUGGCACUCAGUCCAAGGAGGAGAGGUUCGGGAUGUUUAGAGCACACUCCUGACCUUGUAAAGGAGGUCCUGCCUUAGGGACGACAACAUGGUGCUCCCGGAAACCUUGACACCCUGCCUAGCAGUCUGCGUAGGUGAUGUCUUCCUCUUUAAACAGUAACCCUUCUUGCGUUGAAAAUGUCCACUAUCGCCCAUGGACCUUUCCCAGUACACACAGGCCCUGUCUCAAAGGGACCCUCCUCACAACAACUUCUUCUUCUUUGAUGGCAUGAAGGGGAACGGGAUUGUGGAGUGCCUUGGCCCCAAGUGAACCCAAGACUUGGCAGCCCUGGUGAUGCUGCACUGCGGCAUGCCCACAUGUGACCCCUGUCCCCUUCCCCCGUGAAGGCCCUCUCCAGGCGAGGGAAAAGUGAAGUCAUCGAACCAAUACAAACCAUUUCCUGUGAGCAGUGAGGUCAUACAGAUGUGCUGCUUCUAAGCACCAGUGGCUGCUAAGCAAGGGGCGUAGGUCCUGGCUGUCGCCGUUCCCGUCCCAGGCCUGCGCGGCCAGCACCGGACAGCCCCCUCUGACUCCUCGUCGCGGCGUCACCAGUCCCCCCGGCCAGGAACCAGCACGCCUUGUUGCUUAGGAGCCUCUUGCCAUCUUCUUGGCCUUAGUCCCCGCCUGAUGUCACACAGAGAGGAGCAUGACUUCAGGUGGGGAGUAGGCCUAGGACUGAUGAAACACUAGUGGAACCACAGUUCCAAAUGCAGACAGGUGCCCUUAGAGAGGAAAAAACGUGGCAGGCGGAAUGUAUUUCCUCCAAAGUUUGAGACUCUGAAAAACAACAGGUGGCAUCUGGUGUGCUAUUCUUGAGUUUUAGUUGAGGAUUAGUUGAGUUCCAGCCUGGAUUUUGGACGAGAGGAAAUAUCACCAAGUCCUCUUGGGUAUGAGGGUGAGACCUUGCAAAUGGAAUAUUAGCGGGAAAGCUCGUUUUAAAAAGGCAGAUUCUCUGGUCCCACCCCCUGGGGAUUCUGACUCCUUGGCCGUGAGCUGGGACAGAGGAGCCUGCCCUUCCCACGGAGCCCCACUCCGACGCCGUGCCGACCCUCGCUCUGGAGGCUGUCGCGUGUUAAGGGCUGUAUCGGCCCAUCAUUUACCCCCCUGAAUUGCAGCUGUUCAUGUUUUUUUUAUAUUUUCUAUAUUUCCUUGGUUCUUUAAAAAGGAAUGAUUGAAAUAAAGUUAUUUGCUUUAGGA
Molecule: RNA transcript, 2426 nt
Organism: Lagenorhynchus albirostris (white-beaked dolphin)
Lineage: Eukaryota; Metazoa; Chordata; Mammalia; Artiodactyla; Delphinidae
Gene: SAE1
Gene name: SUMO1 activating enzyme subunit 1
Exons: 11
Source: RefSeq, a predicted model, not a curated record